GCAAGGAUAGGCUGAUGCGUAUAUACCCGCAUAUGCACCCACGUCUAUUCUAUAGCGAUGACGGGUGGGCCGGCGCUGCUCCUGUCCCGUUCGUCGAUGGCACUGGUUGCGUGCACGUCUCGUCGCUGUUGGGAUUCACCAAUCCCAUCCACGCCCAUCCUCCAAACGUGCAAGGGUUCUGCCAACCCUUCGUCAAGUCUGCGUCCCCUCCGCCUCGUCUCCUACCUGCUCCCUCCUCUCCCACAUCAUUGCCCUCAAGCCCACGCCCCCUCCACCUUGUCUCCUCUCCAACGCCGCCGCCCUAGAUGCGUCGUCAGGGACGCCGUCGACACGUCGGGAUACGUAGGGAUGGAGCUCAGCCCGAGUCUAGCAGAAGCCCACUCCUAACCCUAUUUUCUCGAUUGACAAGACCAGGGCAACGGAUUGGAUCGAGGGCGCCCGCAUGGCCUCGCCGCCGCUGCCGCCUGGAUUCGCUAGCUGCCGCCUCGAGUUACCUCCGUCGCCGCCGCCGCGAGUCAGCUCCACCGUUGCCGUCAGGAAUCUCGUCCAGGCAAAUUAACUUCCUCCGAGUCCCUGGUCUCCCUUGUCCUCCUGCCCUGCUUGAUUCGUGUGUGUGUGUGUGUGUGCGUGCGUUCCAGGCAAAUUAACUUCCUCCGAGAGUCCCUGCUCUCCCUUGUCCUCCUGCCUUGCUUGAUGCAUGUGUGCGGGUGCGGGUGUGUGUGUGUGUGGGUGUGGGUGCGUAUGUUUUUAGUUCGAGUGUGGAUGCUCGGCAAUAGUGAUGUAGGUCUUUUUGUAGAACAGAAUGAUUAACCCACAAUAGUGAUGUAUGUUUUUAGUUCGAGUGUGGAUGCUCGGCAAUAGUGAUGUAUGUUUUUAGUUCGAGUGUGGAUGCUCGGCAAUAGUGUGGAUGCUCGGCAAUAGUGAUGUAAGUCUAUUUCUAGAGAAAAUUUCUAGGAAUUUGAUUGACGGAGGCAUCACUAUCUGGCGUUGGAUUAUACAUUUUUGCAGCACUACCACUAUUGUUUUUGUUUGGCAGGAAUGAAUGUUCUAGGGUUGGAGCAGAGGGGGUUGAGCAGCAGUUGAGCUUAGAUUCAAGAUUUUCUUACACAUGGGGAUUUUUGUUCUCCUAAUGUUUCUAGGUUGCUUUGGAGGUUGAUAUCAGGUGGCUACUCAUGUUUGGCUUGGUGGCUUGGUGCCUAAAUUUUAGAUGUUUCAUUAAUCUUGGCUGCUUUUCUCAUCCGUUUUGGGUUUUAACCUUGGAUCUAGAAGGUUGCAGCUUCUUUGUUCUCCUACUCAAGAGUUGCUCAUUGUUCAGUUCAAGCCAUGUUCUUCAGGAAAAUCAUCGUUUCUUCACUUCCAAGGCCAGCGUCACUCAACUUUGCUUGGAGCAUGCUUAUUUGUUUCUACAUUGCCUUUGCUUAAUAUUUCUCUUGAUUUCCUAUGUGAUUGAGAUGUGUGCCUAUCUCGACUGUUCUGUUGUGUUGGCAAUUUCUCGCCACUGGCCCAUUAUAACUGUUGUUCACGUACCUGGUGCACUUCUAAUUUUGAAUUGUGCUUGCUGAGUGCCCUCAUUUUUUUACUACCUUCCGUUGGUGUAUAUGCAAGCUGUAGAGCUUUGUUGUUCAAUCUGGUUAUAGCUUUAUUCUCCUAUUUUCUUACUCAUUCCCACAUUGUCUUAGUUAUUAGAAAUGUAAAUAGGCCAUGUGAAAAUAAGCUAAAGUAGCUUUUUUGGGAGAUUUUUUGUGACACUGUUUUUUGUUCAACAGAACCAUUUUUUUGCUUAGUAAAUUACAUUAUGUGUCCAGCAUCUGAUGGUUUGCUACCUAUAUUACUGGCUUGCAUGCUUUGAGAAAAUGAUUUUAGCAUGUUUGUCAUUCAUAUAUCUGUCCAUCUGCGAUGGAAAAAAAUGUUAUUUGCUCAUGCCUCAUGUCAUAAAAUCAAAUGUCUGCAUCAUGUUGAUAUUCUUCAUAAAGAAACCACUUGCUUUUACAAGUACUGGACUAUUGUGAGUGUCGUCGUCUUCAUUGAUGGGAGGAUGAGAGCGGCAAUAGCGCUAGCCAGCGAGGCAGGCUGCUUGGCUCUGGGGCCGACACCUACCGUCCACUUUCGUUGGGCGGAUCUGCCACUUCAAAAACUUUGGUGGCCAUAAGCAAUCUCAAGAGCUUGUUGUGAUGAUUUGAAUGUAAGCAGUUUCCUUCGUUGUGCUUGUGUGUGCUUCUAUGUCUUUCAUGGUCUAUUCUUAGUGUAUGGAAUGGUUAUAUUAGCCAUGUAGUUUACUUUCAUUUUUGAAUCUUGAUGCAUCGAAAAUAGUUGUAAACUGCAAGACCUUAUUUCUGUGGGUGAAAUAAUAGAUGCACAUUGGCUCUUUUAUUGUUUUUGAUUAUUGAAAGAGAGAUACACAUACUGGUUUGCAUUAAUGGUGUUAAAGUUUAAAAACGUUAUUAAAACCAACGUCCAACUUUGUACAUCUGAAGUUUUGGAUUGUUGUGCCAACAAUAAACAGUAAAGGAAAAAUCUGCUUCAAUAUUCAGUUGGUACGCAGCUGCAACUUCUAUGUUAUAUUUGGAAGCUGCUCUAUGUGAUUUUUUGUGUAGUUUGUGAUCAAAUGAAGAUAGAAUUUUUAUGAAUAUAACAUGUGCAACAUGCUACUAACAGAGUCAAGUUUGUAUGAAUUUGUUCACUUUGUGGUCAGUGGAAAUAUGACUGCCUUGUGCACUUUUCCAGCGGAAGAUGAACUUGGUGUUGCUUGCUAUGACGAAAUGAGGUGUUUGCCUGGUUGUAAAUUGCAUGCUGAUGUUACUGUAGUUAUGUUCUAUUCUCUAAAGAAACAUGGGGUCGGAUGCAAUAGGUUAAGGAAAAGGGCAUUGUUGAGCUACGACAAUAGACAAUGAAGAGCUAAUCGAAGACAUUUCCUCAUGGCAAUAGGCAAUAAAGAGCAAAUGGAAGGGAUAGAAAUAUUUUGUUGGCUGCAAGCCCCUAUUUUCUUCAACUAAGAGAUAUUAAAUUUAUUGCCAUAUGUGCUUGCCCGUAAGGAAAUCAAUUAAAAUAUGGAUUUCUUUUCAUCGCUAACAUGGAAUCAGCAGGUCUCUGCGCCAUUUGGCGCAACGGAUCCAC
This 3114-nucleotide ribosomal RNA is filed under the name Triticum aestivum (bread wheat). RNAcentral's name for it is "partial small subunit ribosomal RNA". Lineage: Eukaryota; Viridiplantae; Streptophyta; Magnoliopsida; Poales; Poaceae. The record is from RNAcentral.